UACGUAGGGUGCAAGCGUUGUCCGGAAUUAUUGGGCGUAAAGAGCUCGUAGGCGGUCUGUCGCGUCGGCUGUGAAAUCCCGAGGCUCAACCUCGGGCCUGCAGCCGAUACGGGCAGGCUAGAGUUCGGUAGGGGAGACUGGAAUUCCUGGUGUAGCGGUGAAAUGCGCAGAUAUCAGGAGGAACACCGAUGGCGAAGGCAGGUCUCUGGGCCGAUACUGACGCUGAGGAGCGAAAGCGUGGGGAGCGAACAGG
This 253-nucleotide ribosomal RNA is filed under the name uncultured bacterium. Its description in RNAcentral is "partial 16S ribosomal RNA". It matches the Rfam family "Bacterial small subunit ribosomal RNA", at positions 524 to 776 of the family's 1533-position model. The record is from RNAcentral.